CCUACGGGGGGCAGCAGUGAGGAAUAUUGGUCAAUGGGCGCGAGCCUGAACCAGCCAAGUCGCGUGAGGGAAGACGGUCCUAUGGAUUGUAAACCUCUUUGGUCGGGGAGCAAAAGACGCCACGCGUGGCGUUCCGAGAGUACCCGAAGAAAAAGCAUCGGCUAACUCCGUGCCAGCAGCCGCGGUAAUACGGAGGAUGCGAGCGUUGUCUGGAUUUAUGGGGUUUAAAGGGUGCGCAGGCGGAAGAUCAAGUCAGCGGUAAAAUUGAGAGGCUCAACCUCUUCGAGCCGUUGAAACUGUUUUUCUUGAGUGAGUGAGAAGUAUGCAGAAUGCGUGGUGUAGCGGUGAAAUGCAUAGAUAUCACGAAGAACUCCGAUUGCGAAGGCAGCAUACCGGCGCUCAACUGACGCUCAUGCACGAAAGUGUGGGUAUCGAACAGGAUUAGAUACCCCUGUAGUC
This 459-nucleotide ribosomal RNA is filed under the name uncultured bacterium. Its description in RNAcentral is "partial 16S ribosomal RNA". It matches the Rfam family "Bacterial small subunit ribosomal RNA", at positions 338 to 795 of the family's 1533-position model. The record is from RNAcentral.